RNA transcript from Salvelinus namaycush (lake trout), 4781 nucleotides. It is a transcript of the gene named bucky ball 2-like, with no coding region annotated. NCBI's taxonomy places the organism in Eukaryota, Metazoa, Chordata, Actinopteri, Salmoniformes, Salmonidae. The record is from RefSeq and is a predicted model, not a curated record. The transcript has 7 exons.
UUGCCUGCCUCUCCCCCCUAUUUUAGCAUAAUCAUUUAAAGAGCUUAGUGUUCUUAAAGCGUUUGUGUGCUUAGACAUACUUCAAAAACUUUUGACAAUUCAGUCAAACAAAUAUACAUAGUAAACUGUAGAAAAUACCAACACUGAUUGAUGAGAUUCUUCAACCUGCGUUUUUUAAAUUCUCCUACAGAUAUGGAAACAACCGCGUCUACAGCACAGCAUGCAUUUGGAGCGGGCCCUCGUGGGCCCAACCCAGCCCAUGGACCUCAGCCGGGCCAGGGCCCCCGACACCCAGGCCAUCCUGGACCUUACGGAGUUCCACGUCCUGAGGAUCAGCCCCCACACCAACAAGUAAGCAUUUAUGGCAAGUGAAUGUAGCGGCUGUUCGUUGGACUUGUUGGACUUUCCUUCUGUCUAAAUAGUUACGAAGAUCCUCCCGUGUGAUACUUGGGGUAUAUUCAUUAGUCUUAGUCCGUUGCUAAACUCAAUGUAAAAUGUUUUACAACAGUUUAUUGGACAAACUCAGCUGCGUAUUCGUUAGUUAAUGCAAUGGAAACAAACUGCGCAAACAAGGGAGGGGUCAUACUUAAUUUUGUCCAACAAACUCGUUUUCGUUUUGCAUCAAUCUAAUGAAUACAUCCCUGGUAGGUCUCCCCGCUUUGUUCCGUUAGUUUAGAGUAAACGAAUGUUUUCUGUUGAAAAACAUUUGCAACUAAAUGUGUGUAAUUAAACUAAUGCGUACAACCCUGGAUUACCUGUCACAAAUUAACUGGGAUGUAUUUGUUAAUCGAAUUCUGUGUGGGAACAGUACUCUAAACGGAUAAUGUUCUGUAACAAAUGCAUGAUUCUAUUUUACAAAACGGCGUUUUGUUUAAACAUUUGCAACAGACGAUUUAUUUGACCUUUUAUUUAACUAGGCAAGUCAGUUAGGAACAUUCUUAUUCUCAAAGGGGCAGAACGACAGAUUAUUACCUUAUCAGCUCGGGGAUUCGAUCUUGCAACCUUUCGGUUACAAGUCCAACGCUCUAACCACUAGGCUACCUGCCGCAUGCACAACAAUGUUGCGCAACGGAAUCUGACUAAAUACACCUGAGGCAAGAGCAUGUCAUUGAACUGUUUACUCUAAUCUGUAUCCUGUGAAUAUAAAAAAUCUACUUUGUCAUUUGAGCACCAGCAGCCCCAUCACCACAUCCAGCACAGCAGACCAUUCUUCUACAUACACCCUUCCCAGCCAUACCCUUCCCAGCCAUACCCUUCCCAGCCAUACCCUUCCCAGCCAUACCCUUCCCAGCUAUACCCCUCUGCUCUACCCUAUCAGUGGCCCAUGCCAUACAACCCUUACUGCGGCUUCCCUGGGAUGGGAGGUUAUGGUAUGAUACCGAGUCCCUUCCAGCCCAGUCCCUACAUAGAGCCUCCGGGUUACAUCCUACCCCACUCUCAGCUCCACCUGGCGGACUACAGGCGUAUGAUCAACCCCCACUACCACACCACCCACUACCCACAGACCAUGGCUUACCAUGCACGCAGGUUCCGCUACCAGCACAAUGCUCCAGCCACCAGCAGGGAGAUGAUCAACUCUGAGGUACAGACUGAGCCCACAUUAGGAGCAGCACGCUCUGACCCCAAACUCUCGAACGCUGACUCGUCUAUGAAAAGUAAUGUCCAAACCAACUCUGAAUCUGGCAGCGACACCAGUUGCACAGCUGCCCAGUCACUAUCCCCAGCCUCUGUUGUGCAGGAGGUGAUGUCUAAAUCACCAGCCUACCAGGACAUUGUAUUGGCACCCACCCCCAACAACACUCCUAUCUCCACCAGAUCUGCUGCCCCCCAGAAGGGCAGUUUUGUAUUCCAGACAGAGGUGGAGGAGUUGAGGCUGGAGUGCCACAGCACGCCCACAGGGUUAAAUAUCCUCCACUCCCAUGAGACAUCUGAACUGUGCACCGCCCACAGCGUGUCUGGGACCGAUGAAGACUUGGUGCAGCUCUGCUCUUCCUCCUCCCUCCACCACCACAAGGCCUCACAGGGCAGGAUGCUCCAUGGCCGGGAUGGGAUGGGUUUGGUUGGGGAGGGGGAUCAGUGUCUCCAGCAAGCCUGCACGGAUAUACUUCUAAUGGAUGGGUCGCCCUCGAGUGGCGGACCAGGUAACUUCCUUGCUCUUGACGAUUGUGACUCUUUCAUCGCGAAAACACUGGUCGAACGACCAGGGAUUUCUGAAUCCGAUAUGGACUACAGAGUGGUGGUCCAAAGCCACAACGCCGAUGUUCCUCAACUUACAAGGAAUGACGGAGAACUGAGUGGGAACGGCUCCAAGAGUGUCUAUUUUAAGAUCCUCCACCUGCCCUUUGACAUGCAGUACUUAGAAGAGCUGAGGAAGAUUGAGGCGUCUGUGUGGUCGGCGUCUCUGGCACCGUACGUCCCCUCAGCAGAGUUUAUGAUCCAGCAGGGCCUGAUGGAGCCCCACAGGGAGGCACUGAGCCCCGUGGACGUGGAGGAAGUCCCCAUGGUGGAGGAAGUUCCCACGGCGGAGGUGGUCCCCAUAGUUGAGGUUGAGGUCUCUGGGGCGGAGAAGGUCCCCACAGCUGAGGUGGUCUCUCUGGAGGAAGUCCCCAUGGCGGAGAGCCCUUUGAAUGAAAAUGUAUCAAUGGCAGAGAUGAUCCCCAAUGUGAUGGAGGUACCUGCAAUAUCCAGUCUUAACAAAACGGACAAUGCUCCCACAUCUCCAGAGACCAGUCAAAAGAGGGGUGUGGUGAGUGACCUUGAUCAUCAGGAUACCUCCUUUGGGGGGUUACCCACAUACCGUCCCUCAACUAGCUGGCUGGGUGACUUUGGCAACGUCUACUAUCACAGCAAGAUGCCUUCUGAUGUUGAGGAGCAGCGCAAGAUCCUCAGAGGCAGCCCACUUAAGGUGUCUAGCCCCAAAGGGAAACCAGACCAAGAGCCUAAAGAUCCUCGUGUUUCAGUCACUACAACCGCUCCACUCAGGCUUAAGGGAGAGGGAUGGAGACUCGGAGACAAGGUUGACAGGAGGAGCUACUCUGAUCAAGAGUUCUGUGCUAACCGGACCUUCAAUGUGAACACGGGGACCUCUGGUGGCCACAAAAGGGAGCGCAUCUGUGCCAGAUGUUUGACGACAAAAUGCAGAGUGAACAAGAUACCUGGCAGUCCAGGACCAGGCCUGGAUGCUCUGAUUGUAAAACGACAAGGGGUCCCCGUUCCACCAUGGGAGGAAUAUAUCCUAGCCCAGACGUGUGCAGCCUGCAAAUGCCUCGCCCGGAGGCGGGUAACGAGGAAAGGUUCCGGGUCAGAUGUUCCCAGCGGACCACAAAACGAAGAGACGGAGGGUGAGACCUCUGAGAACAGUUCGUGUCGGGCAGGACCGAGGCCCAAACUGAGGGACCCCAGGAGGCCUCAGUCCUCCAUGAAGCGACACUCUGAGGCAAGUACUGCACACUGUUGUACACUGGCGAAUGACACUAUUUGAUAUAUAGUGCGCUACUUUUGACUAAGGCCAACCUAUACACAUUCUAUGCUUCCAUUAAGUUUGGUUUUUACUUCCCGUUUUAUACACCAGCUGAAAAUACCACAAUUUUGGUUUUAAUGGUGCUAUGAUUCUCCUCACUAUACUUGUUUUUGUCAAACUGAAUUUAGGCAAACUAUUAGAAUUUUUGCAACCAGGAAAUGGUCAGUGGUUGGAAGAGGUACCCAAUUGUCAUGACUUGAGUAUAAGUGAAAGUCACCUGGUAAAAUGGAUUUAAAGUCCAGAAGUAUUGGCUGUAAAAUAUACUUGAGUAUCAAAGUAUAUCAUUUCACAUUCCUUAUUAAGCAAACAAUUAUUUAUUUACAGAUAGCCAGGGGCACACCAACACUAAGACAUAAUUUACAAACUAAGCGUUUGUGUUUAGUGAUUCUGGCAGAUCUGAGGCAGUAGGGAUGACCAGGGAUGUUCUCUGGAAGUGCAUGAUUGGACCAAUUUCCUGUCAAUGUAAUGAUUACUUUUGGGUGUCAGGGAAAAUGGAUGGAGUAAAAUGUACAUGACUUUCUUCAGGAAUGUAAUGAAGUAAGUGGUCAAAUAUAAAGUACAGAUACUUAAGUACUUUACACCACUGGAAAUGCGGCGUGUUUUCUGCAGUGCACCUUUAAGUGGUCAAAUGCAUUCUUGAUCCAUCCAGCAGUGUCCCAUGGGUCCGCACUCAAAACUGAGGGAGAAGAACUGUUCCUGUGAAGAGCCCCAUCGGCCCCCUACUGCUGUGUUGGGGGGGCCGCGACGCCAUCCCCAUGGCAAUGUCAUCAGGGAGCGAAAUGAGGAGAACCUUGGGGUGUCUGUCCCACUUCAGGACACAUGGAGAAACCAAGACCAACACCAGGACCAAUGCUACCUCACGGCACAGAAAUCUCAAGAAGAGAAGUUGUGGAAAGCGGCUUUGUCCAACCCUGACAACAAUGAAAGUAAUAUUAAGCUCGGACCCAGACACUUGAUUAAACAGAAGAAACACAUUUCUCAAUCACAAGGUAGUGCUCUACUGUAAAAACCCUACUGUACAGUACUGUGUAACACUUUUAGCAGCUUUUGAAAUGUUAUGUCACCUUUUUGGUAAAUUCCAACAUUUGUUUCCCCCCUCAGGACUUCACAGAAAAGACACAAGAUGCUAAUUUUUCACGAGCACAUUGUAACAAGUGAAGUAAAUGCGCUUUUAUUGUUAUCCUCUACACUUACGAAUUAACUCUUAAAGCUCACCAUGUAUGUACUCACUAUUUAUGAAAUGUACAAUAAAUAAACACUU